RNAcentral lists this transfer RNA (73 nucleotides) under Ailuropoda melanoleuca (giant panda). It matches the Rfam family "tRNA". From Rfam's summary of the family: Transfer RNA (tRNA) molecules are approximately 80 nucleotides in length. Lineage: Eukaryota; Metazoa; Chordata; Mammalia; Carnivora; Ursidae. The record is from Rfam by way of RNAcentral.
GCCUGGUUGGCUCACUGGUUAGAGCAUGAGAGUCUUGAUCUUGGGGUUGUGAGUUCGAGUCCCACAUUGUAUA